GAAAUAUAUAAAUAUUUAAUUAUAUAUAAAUAUAUAAAUAAAUGAAAUGUUAUAGAUAUCGGUAAAUAAAUAAUAAAUUAAUAAUCAAUAAAUAAAUCAAUACAUAAAAAAUAUAUAAAUAUAUAUAUCAAAUAAAUAAUUAAUAAAUUAAAAAUUCCUGAUAUAUAAAUAAAUCAAUAAUUAUAAAUAUUAUAAAUAUUAAAUUGAAAUUUAUUAUUCAAUAUUUUAAUAGAUGUGAUUGUAAAAUGGUUUACAGCGGCAGCCAAUCAGAAAAACACUAGACGAGCUAUGAGGCACGACGCGGCAUCAGUCUUCUGUGGAAAGUCAAUGGAGUAGGACGUACGAUCGCAACCGUCUUCGAUAAUUUGAUUCUAUAUUUUGAUUUUCAUUUGGGUAAAUUAUCGAAAUGGCUUCGAAGGAAAUAUGAUUUAUAAUCUGUGUCACGAUAAUUUCUAGCUAAUGAUUUUAAUAUUUCAUUUCUUUGUAUUUAUUUAGAAUAAAUUUUUUAUAAACUUUUUAUCUGUAUCGAAUAAAUAUAAUAAAGUUAAUUUUAUCUUAUUAAAUUAAAUUAUAAUAUAUAUUGCAUUUCAA
Long non-coding RNA from Apis cerana (Asiatic honeybee), 591 nucleotides. RefSeq lists it as uncharacterized. NCBI's taxonomy places the organism in Eukaryota, Metazoa, Arthropoda, Insecta, Hymenoptera, Apidae. The record is from RefSeq and is a predicted model, not a curated record.